CUCACUUUCGCUUGCUGCCGGGAGAGGAGUGGGUGUGCUUUCCAAGCCGUGUGCCUUCAUCAGUCCUGAGUGAACUUUAGUAAGACUGGCAAUCCAAGGCUUGUGUGCCAGCAGCUUUGAUGGUGGAAAGGAUGCUUCUGAGUUAAGUAUAGUGGUCCCUGGUAAAGGUGUCUUUUCACUCUCCCUUUCAUGGUGUUUGUUGCUGUUGUUGUAGUUUGUUUGUUUUGGUUUCUUUUCCCCCUCAUUUUUAUUUGCAGGACAGUAAUGUUUUGAACCAAGGAAAAUCCACAUGGAAGUCUUUAUGUCAGACAAGAAUGCAGGUAUUACU
This is a long non-coding RNA of Gallus gallus (chicken), 328 nucleotides long. RefSeq lists it as uncharacterized. Lineage: Eukaryota; Metazoa; Chordata; Aves; Galliformes; Phasianidae. The record is from RefSeq and is a predicted model, not a curated record. The transcript has 3 exons.